AGAAAAAAAGGCAUCAACACUCAUUUGAUCAUUGUCAAACACAGUUAUAAUUUGUGACAGAGUGUGCCAAAAGAAGAAAACUUGGGUGGAUGGCUUUCUAUAUCUAGAAGAGGUAAUCAGUUCUAAUGAGUAGGUGGCUACUUUGCAUCCUUUUUUUUCCCUUGUGCAGAUUAUAUGUGUCAGUUCAGAGUGCCUGCAGUUGCCUCUGGCUGGGUUGGGGAUCACAGGCCCCCUGGGCUGGGUUUGGUGAGUUUUUCUCCAAGGCCAGCAGUGAACACUACUACACUCCACCUGAGUUCAGCUCAGAGCUCAUCUCAAAACAUGGGGAGCUGAGGAGAUUUUUGUUUCAUAUUCAUCACUGUUUUUCUCUUAUGAUUUUUUUUUUUUCACUUUAAACAGUUUAAAAAUCACGAGGAGGUGAGCAAAGAACCUGCUGUGCCCCUGGAUUCUGCAUUUACCACUUUGCUAAAGAGAGCCUAUGAGAGAGGAAGCAAUACCCUACUGGAAGGUGGUGUUCAGACAAAAUUGGCUUCCUGGCUCCCACCUGACCAGCUUUUGUUGGGAGUAAAGCAUGUGCUGUUAUACCUGAAAUCCACAGUGGAGAACUUCAGCAGGCUUGGUAAAACUUUGGGUCCUCAGCUUGUUGAUCUCUGUGUGGACCUGCUGAGCAUCUUGUUGUGCCGGGACAAUGAAAUAAAGCUGGAGCAGCAGCAGAAGCAGGAGGAGCAUCAGGCUGAUGGGAUCUCUUCAUGGAUGAGGAGCCUCUGAUGACAGAAGUGUCUUCAAAUGACAAGACCCUGGAGGAUGCACUCACCUUGAUUUUCAGACAUCCUGCACUGGAGAGCUGGUUCCUGGCGUUGGAGCUGCGCUCUAUUCCUCAG
Molecule: long non-coding RNA, 881 nt
Organism: Oenanthe melanoleuca
Lineage: Eukaryota; Metazoa; Chordata; Aves; Passeriformes; Muscicapidae
Exons: 3
Source: RefSeq, a predicted model, not a curated record